Molecule: long non-coding RNA, 95 nt
Organism: Thalassophryne amazonica
Lineage: Eukaryota; Metazoa; Chordata; Actinopteri; Batrachoidiformes; Batrachoididae
Exons: 3
Source: RefSeq, a predicted model, not a curated record
UCCAAAAUGGCCACCAUUUCACUUAUUUAUUUACAUAUCUUUGCUUCUGGAAAUGUUAAAAACCUAAUUUAAGUAUCAAAAUAUGUAUUUUAGGG